Molecule: long non-coding RNA, 2552 nt
Organism: Oreochromis aureus
Lineage: Eukaryota; Metazoa; Chordata; Actinopteri; Cichliformes; Cichlidae
Source: Ensembl
GUGCGUGCGUGUGUGUGUUUUCUCUGGAGCUGACUUGGGUAAUAUAUACGAUAAGGGCACAAAACACAUGCGUUAUUAUUACGCACUUGAUUUAAUGUGCUUCGGGUUCCUGCUGCUUACCGCUAAGAAUGACCGAGUCGGUGUGAGUGAACACCCGAUGGGUCGUCAGUGAACAGUUUAAUGAAGAGUUACUGUAGACAUUCGUUGAAACGCUGCUUUGUUCUGUCGGGAAUUUAAAAGUGUUUCUAUUCAAGUGGCGGUCACGUGCAGGUUUAGGAAUGUUUGCUGCUUUGGCCAGGCGGAAGCAAAACCUUUCAGAGCCUUUAGUGUCAAAAGAUUUAAAGCCUUUCGCCGUGUUCCCACAGCUGCCGUCAAGCUUUAGCUCAUCUCAGUGAAACAUUAAUCCCCCUUCAAUAACAACAAGAAGCUAUAAUGAAAAAAAAAAAAGAAAAAGGUUCAGAUAGACCACAGAGUUAAGAUCACCCCAACCCCAGCAGAUCAGCUGAUCUCAAAGCCAGGCCCAGUCACCUGAAGCACCUCCAAGCCGCUGUGCAACCCACCUUAAUCCCAGCUCCAUCUUUAAACCAGCGCGUGACGUAAUCCCACAUCUCCAGCUCUCCAUCCAUGUGUAAGCGAGGAAGGUCUCAGCACAGAGCCACAGCAGCAAAGAUAAAUGAUUGCAGGAAUAAAAAUUAAAAUUAGUAUUUUGGAUUUAGUGAUCCUCACUUGAAUAGCUGUUUAAGUUUAACCACUUUGUAUUCUGUCAGAGUUGCUAAUCUUAUUUCAAAUUCUCCUUGUGUUUUUAAUGAGUAUAAAUUAAAAAACAAAAACACCUCCUCCAUCUUUAAACUGUUGGGUGGGGGGUCUGCACAGUGUUUGGCUCCAAGUGCUAAUUUAAUCCUUCGAUGCGUGGGAUCUUCCUCAGGCAGUUUGUCAGAGAAGACAGAUUUUCUAAAUGUUCCAAUCGAUGCACGUCUCUGAUACCUGGAACCAGCCUAAAAACACCUGGUCAUGUGCAUACAGGCUUGUCAUUAUACCAGAUUUCCACUUCACGAUUGAUGGCGAUUUUAUUGUUAUAUUCGCAGAAAAUCAGGUGAAAAGCUGCUGCCGAUCAGAUUAAUCUGUAGAUCUGUUUGUGUGUUUUGUGGCAGGAUCUUCAGAUAGCAGAGAGUCUCCAACCAUAACUGUAGGCAAAGAGGAACCACAUUAUUUAUGAUAUUGUUACCAUUAUGUCAAUAUUUAACUUUGUUGGGUUUUUUUGUUUUGUUCUUUUGAUGGUUGUCACCCAUGAGAACCAUGUCACGUAGGCAGGACACUGCAUGCGAAAGCAUUCGUUGUGGAAAUCGUGUGGAUUUCACUCCCAAAGUGAACUGUUGCCGUUCGCUUGGGCGCAGUCUCAGUGAGUUGAUCGUUUCUGAGCAGCAGGAACUACGUGAGCCUGUGCGUUUGUGCCUUUAUCUCAGCUCCCCUGGCUUGCUUUGCUGGUAAAACCUUCGGUCCUUCACUUUCUCUGACGUCUGUUUUAUAACUAAGCAGCAGUGUUUGGAUACUUGAUGAGGUGGUCACAGUAACUGAAUGAAUCCCAUCACCGUCUUAAUUUAUUGAAACGUCUGUCGUGGCACUCGUUGGCAGCAGGUCACGAUGGCAACAUGAAGUGGGAAAACAGACCGGGUUGAAUGUGUUUGUGUUGAAGGUGGGGAAAGGUCCGAUCCUCCUCCCCCUCCGUCAUGUGUCCGCUGCUCCCUCCUCCUGUGGUUUCAUUAGCGGGAAAUGUUUAGGGCGAAGCAGUCUUUAUUGAGCUGGGUUUAUUUCACUCUAACAAACAGGAUGGAUAAGCACAAGGUCGCGGCUUUCUGAGUCCCUCCUCAGCAUCACACACACACAUGUGUGAACAGAGAACAUAUGGAAUAAGGCCACCUUUUUUUUUUUAAAGCAGUAGUUACUCUUAAGUAUGUUUUCAAAAGAACUCCACAGUCAGCCUCGACAAGCAGCUCAACUCUUUGGUUGUCAUGACCUUAAACAAAAGGGAAAAAUCAGCGACGUGUAUAUUAUGUUCGUGUGGAACCCUGAAAACUGAAAGAUUCAGAUCCAGACGUGGGUGUUUGAUGUCCGUUUGUAUGCUUUUGUGCGUCGAUUCAGAGCGAGAGAAUAAAAUAAUUUAUAUAUUUUUUAGAAAAUGGAAGCUGUACUAUUAUUUAAAAAACAAAAACCAACAAAAAAAACAAGGAAAAGAAAAGAAAAAAAAUACGACCGUGGCCAAUAACGAGUUCCACGCUAUGAAAACGAUAUCAAAGUCAGACUCGAGACGACAUCUGCACUCACUGCCUUAAAACAUUCACAGGUUCUGUUUCGUGGCUCCAAUCUGGAAAACAAACAAUAAAGGAGGGAAAGGAGAAGACGGUGUACAGUUAGACCCGUGUCAGUUUGUACAAAUAUACCAAGUGGGAAAAAAAAAAUAUUUAUUACCUGCAUUGGAAGAAAUUGUUUACUUAUUGAAUGUUACUUGUUUAUGUAGAAAAGUUUAGAUGUAAUAAAAUGCAUUCUGCUAUUUC